Long non-coding RNA from Patella vulgata (common limpet), 410 nucleotides. RefSeq lists it as uncharacterized. Lineage: Eukaryota; Metazoa; Mollusca; Gastropoda; Patellidae. The record is from RefSeq and is a predicted model, not a curated record. The transcript is spliced from 5 exons.
AAGUACUAUUGAUCAAUUGUUCCCAUGUGUUGAGAAAGCCUUUGAUAGAUGUAGUAUUACAGAAACUGGUGUUACCGUCAAAAAGAUUUCAACUGUUAGUCGGGAUUACUGUUUAAACUUCGCCAGUGAUCCUAAAAUUCACAACUGCCAACAGAUCAUCAUGUGUCAAAUGAAUGAAAACUAUACAAUGAGUGAUCCCUUACAGAUGACCAACAGUACCUUCUGGUGUGGUUAUUACGCAGCUUCCAUAGAUUGUAUUCAUGACGUAAUUCAAAAAGAUAUGUGUCCUGAUAUAGUACCAAUGAAAACUCAGUACUUGACAAAAGUUGGUAAUAUACAGAAACAAGUAACAGGAGUUUGCACAAUCCAUAAAGUAUAUACAGAACAUACAGAACAAACGGAUAACAACA